RNAcentral lists this ribosomal RNA (396 nucleotides) under uncultured bacterium. RNAcentral describes it as "partial 16S ribosomal RNA". It matches the Rfam family "Bacterial small subunit ribosomal RNA", at positions 523 to 918 of the family's 1533-position model. The record is from RNAcentral.
AUACGUAGGUGGCAAGCGUUGUCCGGAAUUAUUGGGCGUAAAGCGCAUGUAGGCGGUUUGGUAAGUCGGUCGUGAAAAUGCGGUGCUUAACGCCGUAUGGCGAUUGAAACUGCUGAACUUGAGUGCAGGAGAGGAAAGGGGAACUCCCAGGGUAGCGGUGAAAUGCGUAGAUAUUGGGAAGAACACCGGUGGCGAAGGCGCGUUUCUGGACUGUGUCUGACUCUCGGAUGCGAAAGCCAGGGUAGCGAACGGGAGUAGAUACCCCGGUAGUCCUGGCCGUAAGCGAUGGGUGCUAGGUGUGGGAGGUGUCGACUCCUUCCGUGCCGGAGUUAACGCAAUAAUUACCCCGCCUGGGGAGUACGGCCGCAAGGCUUAAACUCAAAUGAAUUGACGGGG